GACGAACGCUGGCGGCGUGCUUAACACAUGCAAGUCGAACGGAAAGGCCCUGCUUUUGUGGGGUGCUCGAGUGGCGAACGGGUGAGUAACACGUGAGUAACCUGCCCUUGACUUUGGGAUAACUUCAGGAAACUGGGGCUAAUACCGGAUAGGAUCUCCUGCUGCAUGGUGGGGGUUGGAAAGUUUCGGCGGGUGGGGAUGGACUCGCGGCUUAUCAGCUUGUUGGUGGGGUAGUGGCUUACCAAGGCUUGGACGGGUCGCCGGCCUGGGAGGGUGACCGGCGACAUUGGGACUGAGAUACGGCCCAGACUGCAACGGGAGGCAGCAGUGGGGAAUAUUGCACAAUGGGCGGACGCCUGAUGCAGAAACGCCGCGUGCGGGAUGACGGCCUUCGGGUUGUAAACCGCUUUCGCCUGUGACGAAGCGUGAGUGACGGUAAUGGGUAAAGAAGCACCGGCUAACUACGUG
This 468-nucleotide ribosomal RNA is filed under the name uncultured bacterium. RNAcentral describes it as "partial 16S ribosomal RNA". It matches the Rfam family "Bacterial small subunit ribosomal RNA", at positions 28 to 507 of the family's 1533-position model. The record is from RNAcentral.